UUGGAGGGCAAGUCUGGUGCCAGCAGCCGCGGUAAUUCCAGCUCCAAUAGCGUAUAUUAAAGUUGUUGCAGUUAAAAAGCUCGUCGUUGAAUUUCGGGAUUAGUACGUCGGUCGUGCCUUAGGUACGUACUGGUGUUACUGGUUCCUACCUUCUGACGAACCAUCAUGUCAUUAAUUUGGUGUGGCGGGGAAUCAGGACUGUUACUUUGAAAAAAUUAGAGUGUUUAAAGCAGGCUCGCGCUUGAAUACAUUAGCAUGGAAUAAUGAAAUAGGACGUUGAUCCUAUUUUGUUGGUUUCUAGGAUUGACGUAAUGAUUAAUAGGGAUAGUUGGGGGCAUUAGUAUUCAAUUGUCAGAGGUGAAAUUCUUGGAUUUAUUGAAGACUAACUACUGCGAAAGCAUUUGCCAAGGAUGUUUUCAUUAAUCAAGAACGAAAGUUAGGGGAUCGAAGACGAUCAGAUACCGUCGUAGUCUUAACCAUAAACUAUGCCGACUAGGGAUCGGAUGAUGUUAAUUUUUUAAUGACUCAUUCGGCGCCUUACGGGAAAC
RNAcentral lists this ribosomal RNA (548 nucleotides) under uncultured Glomus. RNAcentral describes it as "SSU rRNA". It matches the Rfam family "Eukaryotic small subunit ribosomal RNA", at positions 548 to 1098 of the family's 1831-position model. Lineage: Eukaryota; Fungi; Glomeromycota; Glomeromycetes; Glomerales; Glomeraceae. The record is from RNAcentral.